This 1258-nucleotide long non-coding RNA is filed under the name Hordeum vulgare. Its description in RNAcentral is "long non-coding RNA (HVUL_LNC013071)". Lineage: Eukaryota; Viridiplantae; Streptophyta; Magnoliopsida; Poales; Poaceae. The record is from RNAcentral.
GGCAGCCGAGGAGAUGGAGAUCAAGAGGAGCUGGAGAUGGAGAUCAAGAGAAGCUGGAGAUGGUCGGCCACGCGCGACUUAAGCGACGAGGGCGGCUCUGGUGCCGACGGUGUGGAAGAAAGAAAAGAAGGAAGAAAGAAAAGAUGAGGCAUGUCGCCUGCCGCCGAGGUUGCGGAAGGUCGCAAGGCAGCAGCGGAUUGGUUUGUGAGAUUGAAGUUGCAGAUCUUAACUUGUUCAUUCAUGACUGAUGUCGGACGGCAGCUGAGGCGAUGAAGAGGAGCUAGAGAUGGCCGGCCACGCGCGACGUAGGCGACGAGGCCAGGAUGGAUGUACGUAUCCGAUUGUAAUAAAUAUAUCAUCAGAGUAUAUCAAACUCAUGCCAUCGCCGAGAGUAGUUCAGACCAAUGUUUUAAAUAGCGGGCUACGGCAAAUAGCGGCGAGCCUUUUAAUCAGCUAUAGCGGGCUAUAGCAGCGGCAUAUUUAUACAUGAUACCAUCUAGCGGCACGCUGCUGAAAAGGCUAUAGCGAGGCUAUAGCGGGGCUAUAACGGGGCUAUAACGGGCUAUUUAAAACUAUGGUUCAGACCCAGUUAAUUAGCCGAGACCAGGUGAGACACUCGUGGACCGUAUCCAGAUCGAUUUCAAGCAGCACUUCUGCAGAAGUACAUAGAUAGGUUGUAGUACUAUGUAAUUACAGUGAUUCAGUUACAAAUCGUACUACUAGAUGGCAAGUAAGUAAUAAAAUAACAAAGCUGCUCCGAUCCAGUUGAUUAUCCAGACUAGAUCUCCGUCGGCGGUUCGGUGCCAAACACCUUGAGGUACGCCUUCCUGUGAGCUUCACGCAUCAUCCUGUUGCUGUCUUUUCGGAAGUUGUCUGGGAUCUCGACGUAGCCCUUCUCCUCAAACUCAUCCCUGAUCUCUUGCUGGUACCGGGAGAGUUCAUCAUUCAACCGGUUGAAGAAGCCGGCGGCCUUGUUAUUCUUCCGACUGUAGGCUCACGUUUUUCCCAGGACAGGAUGUCCAUCACCUCCUCUUCGGACAUCAUGUUCUUCGCCGGAGGAAGAGGGCCCUUCUUGCUCUUGCCAUGGCCCCCCUGCGAACCGGCCUUCGGAAACCGCUUCUCUCGACCAUGACGCCCUGCCAUGACCACCGCCUCCUUCUCCUGCCUUAGCAGACCCCUUCUGUCGAUCACGACGCGACGGCUUUGGCUUCGCAGCCUUGGAAACCACCGUCGCUCCACAACGAUGCGUCGGCUUGGG